AAUCCAUAGGUUAAUGAGGCGAACCGGGGGAACUGAAACAUCUAAGUACCCCGAGGAAAAGAAAUCAACCGAGAUUCCCCCAGUAGCGGCGAGCGAACGGGGAGGAGCCCAGAGCCUGAAUCAGCAUGUGUGUUAGUGGAAGCGUCUGGAAAGGCGCGCGAUACAGGGUGACAGCCCCGUACACAAAAGCGCAUGUGCUGUGAGCUCGAUGAGUAGGGCGGGACACGUGGUAUCCUGUCUGAAUAUGGGGGGACCAUCCUCCAAGGCUAAAUACUCCUGACUGACCGAUAGUGAACCAGUACCGUGAGGGAAAGGCGAAAAGAACCCCGGCGAGGGGAGUGAAAAAGAACCUGAAACCGUGUACGUACAAGCAGUGGGAGCACCCUUUGGGGUGUGACUGCGUACCUUUUGUAUAAUGGGUCAGCGACUUAUAUUCUGUAGCAAGGUUAACCGUAUAGGGGAGCCGGAGGGAAACCGAGUCUUAAUUGGGCGUUAAGUUGCAGGGUAUAGACCCGAAACCCGGUGAUCUAGCCAUGGGCAGGUUGAAGGUUGGGUAACACUAACUGGAGGACCGAACCGACUAAUGUUGAAAAAUUAGCGGAUGACCUGUGGCUGGGGGUGAAAGGCCAAUCAAACCGGGAGAUAGCUGGUUCUCCCCGAAAGCUAUUUAGGUAGCGCCUCGUGAAUUCAUCUCCGGGGGUAGAGCACUGUUUCGGCUAGGGGGCCAUCCCGGCUUACCAACCCGAUGCAAACUGCGAAUACCGGAGAAUGUUAUCACGGGAGACACACGGCGGGUGCUAACGUCCGUCGUGAAGAGGGAAACAACCCAGACCGCCAGCUAAGGUCCCAAAGUCAUGGUUAAGUGGGAAACGAUGUGGGAAGGCCCAGACAGCCAGGAUGUUGGCUUAGAAGCAGCCAUCAUUUAAAGAAAGCGUAAUAGCUCACUGGUCGAGUCGGCCUGCGCGGAAGAUGUAACGGGGCUAAACCAUGCACCGAAGCUGCGGCAGCGACACUCAGGUGUUGUUGGGUAGGGGAGCGUUCUGUAAGCCUGUGAAGGUGGCCUGUGAGGGUUGCUGGAGGUAUCAGAAGUGCGAAUGCUGACAUAAGUAACGAUAAAGCGGGUGAAAAGCCCGCUCGCCGGAAGACCAAGGGUUCCUGUCCAACGUUAAUCGGGGCAGGGUGAGUCGACCCCUAAGGCGAGGCCGAAAGGCGUAGUCGAUGGGAAACGGGUUAAUAUUCCCGUACUUGGUGUUACUGCGAAGGGGGGACGGAGAAGGCUAUGUUGGCCGGGCGA
RNAcentral lists this ribosomal RNA (1294 nucleotides) under Salmonella enterica subsp. enterica serovar Oranienburg. Its description in RNAcentral is "partial 23S ribosomal RNA". It matches the Rfam family "Bacterial large subunit ribosomal RNA", at positions 161 to 1498 of the family's 2925-position model. Lineage: Bacteria; Pseudomonadati; Pseudomonadota; Gammaproteobacteria; Enterobacterales; Enterobacteriaceae. The record is from RNAcentral.